UAACCUUAUCAGUAGAAAUAAGAGUAUAUUGUGAGGCCUUGGCUAGGUUCAUGAUGACACAGGACCUUGUCUGAAUAUGAUGAUUUCAAGAUUUGAGCUUAAAUUGACACUCUGAAAUCUAGUCAGUGUGCCUCACUAGACUUUACAGAGCACAUUAUUCUUGAAAAAAACUUGGCUUUUUGUAAAAACUUAGAACAUAUAGAUAUGCCUUUUCUAGUAUAGAACUUUGCCAUUUCUUCAAAUGUCUUUUAUUUUCAUUGAUAUUCUGAGGUAAUUCUUUUUUUCUGAACUUUGUAUGUUGUUGAAAGCUAAAGGGAAACAUCUUGGAUCACAGAAGAUAGCAGGCAUCUGGUGAGAUGGAAGUAAGGAUGUGUACAAAUGAAACUAUCAACUAUUGAAAACAAAGAGUACUAAAGUCCUAGGGUUCUAAAUGAUGUCCAGGAAUGAAAGAAUAAUAUUUGUCGAGCAUAUAUUGUGGAUCACAUGGUGUUAUAAUCCUGCUGGAGUUAUGGUGAAGGAACAUCAGUUGCCACUAUGGGAAAUUAACAAUUUGUCAGAUGAGCCCCGUCUUCAUAUUGCAGCAUGCCCUAUUGCAACUUUCUGCUUGAGAGUCUGAUUCGGGAUACUUAUGUCCCUCCAGGUAUUAAAAUAUGAACAACUAAACAAGAAAGAAGUGUUAAGGAGACAGUUUGUACGUAUUUUCAUUCUUGCAACUCACCAUCGUUGGAGCAUUUGGUUGUCAUAUCCAGCUUUGUCUUCCCAGAGGCCUUUGUGAAUGAUUUUUUUCAAUGAUUUUAUGAAGAGUAUGCAAUUUAAGAGAAUAAAUAGUAUUGGAUUAUCCAAGAAAAGAAGGAAGAAGAUGGAAUUAUAGGUAUUCACAAUGAGAGAUAUAUUGAAGGUAACUUGAGUACAGCUGAUGAAAUCAUCAGGAAUAUCUUGCUUUGGAGUCCUUAAUUUUUACAUCUUAACUGCAAAGCAUAGAUGAUAGUUUCAAGAAAGAAUACUUCUAUCAUCCUUGGUUUUAAUCCUGUGAAUGAUAUGUACUAGCAAUGAAAGAUCUGUUGGAGUAAUUUAAUUCAUGUGUUCUUCACUCCUAUCUCUCACUUGGCGGGAAUUACUGGAAAGAAAUGCAUGCCAUUGUUUUUACCACCUUCUUCCUCAAAACUAAAAUAUGUUCUGCAUAAUGAAUGAAGACUUUAUACUUAAUGUGUGUUGCAAUGGACACUCCUUGCUCAUCAGAAGAACUGAACUCAGAAAACUUGUUUUUGAAAAGAGACCUAAAAUAUAGCCCAGAAAAUUCUAAUACUUAGUUGUAUUAAUUGUCUUUAUUGUUGCUGUUGGACUUUAUCUCAGGAAGUGCAAUGGAAGAAACAUUUGUGUCCAGAGAAGUUUUCCAUAAGUAUAAAGUGCAUGCAUUUAUAAUUAUCACUUAUGACAGGAUAAAUUUGAACAUGACUUUAAAAUAUUAAAGAAUGCAGAAUCUUGUGAAGCAGGGUUUUUUUUGGUACUGAGAAAUGACCCCGUGGUGCUUUACCACUAGGCUUCAUCCCCAGUCCUUUUUAUUUUGAGACAGUGUCUUGCUUAGUUGCAGAAGGUAUUUCUGAGGCUGACUUUGAACUUGGCAAUCCUACUGCCUCAGUCUUCAAUUCUCUGGGAUUAUAGGGAUGUGCCACCAUGCUAAGCUAAUAUUUUUGUUUAUUAAAUUUUUUUCUCCUUCUAAUUCAUACUCUAAUACUAUUUGCUAUUAAAUUGAUACAAUUUGUAUUUUUUUCAUGGGUUGAUCUUAGCUAUGUAUUCUCUAUUUGGUAAACAUCCUUAUGUAUAAAUUUGAAUUUUUCAGCUACUUUGGAAUAUUUUCUGUGGAUUGGAAUUGCCGGGGAAAAGUAUUUCCAAAAUCUACAAUUGAGUAAAUUUCCUCCUAAUUGGAAAUUUUCCGUGUUUAUAAUUGCAUUUUUUUCUCAGUUGAUGCUUACAAUUAUUUUACACAUUGGAAAAAAUGCAGUUUUAAUUUCAUUUGCACCAAAUUUAAUAGAUUAAUUAGAGAAUAGAUCACUUUAAAAUUGAGUCUUCCUAUCCAACUUCAAGGAGUCUUAUUAAGAAAGUAGGUGCCUAAUCCAAUAUGAUGGAGGUUUGGGUCUACUUUUUCUUCUAUUAGACGCAGGAUCUCUGGUUUAAUUCCUAGGUCCUUGCUCCACUUUCAGCCUCUUUCACAAGCAAGGACCCAAAAGAGCUUCCCUUAAGUUCUAGAUGGACACAAUAUUUAACUUUUAUGUGGUGUUGAGGAUCGAACCCAGCACCUCGCCCAUGCCAGGUCAAAAUAUAUAACAUGUUAGAGUGCUUCAGGGAAGAGAGAGAAGAGGAGGGCUUUAAUGAGGUCUUCCAUUUCAGAAAAUAGGGGUAAGUAGCUGAAUCAGUAUACUCUGACAUUCAUACACCGUGUUAUUUGCCCCAUCUUCAGAGUUUUGUGUUUAUUUUGUCUGUGACUUAUAGGAUGAUAUCUAUAUGAAGUGACUUUUUCUUUGUUGAACUCCACCUGCAUUACUAAAUUAUCAGAUUUUUGCAUGGAAUGACAAUUAUAAAAUUUGGGGAAUUUUUUGCAGUUUUAUAUUAUAAUAAAAUAUCUUUUGGGGUACUCUAAGUAUGCUGAAGGUUAUCUUAAAAAUAUUUGGUUAUAGUGCAUUGACUUUAUGAUUAAGAUUAUCAUCAGAUCGCUUGGGUCAGAUUCUAGUUAUUAUGGAUGAUUAUUCUCAUCAUGAAGAUUUGAAUUUAUUUUCUUACACUUUUUGAUCUGGAAAAUUAUAUAUCAAGUUUUAUAAGUUUUUUUAAAGCCAUGAAGAUUUUGAAUGACAAAGAAUUAUGCAUGAAGCACUUCAUCGUUCUGAAAUAAGUUUAAUUGUCCAGUGAUGAUAUACUGGAAUUUUAUAUACAGAAUCGUUAUUUGUUUAUGAAGUUGAAGUUAGCAUCAGUAGAACAAAUAGUUUGUUUCUUGCCAUGAUUAUAAAGAUUUUAUAUUACCUGAAACAUUUGCCUGCCUGCCUGCCUGCCUGCCUUCCUUCCUUCUACUUGGAACUGAAUCCAGGAGAUGCUAUCUAACAAUUAGCUACACCACAGACCUUUUUAUUUUUUUAUUUUGAGACAAGGUCUUGCUAAGUUGCUAAGGGUGGCCUUCAAUGUGUGAUCACACUUUUCCAGCCUCUCAAGUCACUGACAAUAUAGGCAUGUACCUCUGCAUCUUGCUAUGUUAUUUUUCUUUUGAAAAAUUUAUUGUCAUAAUUUUUUUCAAAUGGCUAGUUUAGGUUUUUCUUUUAUAUUUGUAGUAUACUUUAAUAUAUGUAUUUAUUUCUCCAGAAACAAGUAUGAUAAUUAACAAAAUAUUAUGAAGAAUAAGAAUUGUAAGUUCUAAGAGUAAAAGCUCAUAUCACAUGGUGAAAGUUGCUCUAGCCUUUCAUCACUUAAAAAAUGUUUUAGGGUAGAUAUGAAUAGGAGAAGCAUUGAAAUAUGUUUUUGUUUUGUUUUUUAGUACUUGGAGUUGAACCCAGGGUUUUUCUACCACUGAGCUACAUCUCUAAUUGUCUAAUUUUAUUUUGAGACAGGAGAUUGACAAAUUGUCCAAGCUUUUAUAGAACUUAACAAUCUUGGACUGUUAUAGACUUAAUAAUCCUGCUGCAAAUUCCCAAGUGGCUGUGAUUACAGGUGUGUGCCACUGUGCCCACCAUUGGUUCAUGGUUUUAAUCUAAUAAACAUGUUACAAAGCUGUAAUUUGUAUAUCUGUUCAUAAUAGAAUAUAAAUAGAUUUGUGAUAUCUUAGCUGCUUUUCCAAUCCAAGAAAUAUAUAUUGACUAUGAAGUUUAUGCUAUAAAUUGCCAGGGAUAAAAAUGUACAACCCAUGGCUGGGUGUGGUGACACAUGCCUAUACUCCCAGGGGCUCUGGAGGCUAAGGCAGGAGGAUCUCAAGUUCAAAGCCAGCUUUAGCAAGAGCAAGGUGCAUUCAGUGAGAUCCUGUCACUAAAUAAAAUACAAAAUAGGACUGGGGAUGUGGCUCAGUGUUCAAGUGCCCCUGAGUUCAAUCCCUAGUACCAAAAACCAAAAAAGUACAACCCAAUGUGAUAUAUGUUGUAAAUGGACACAGUACCUUUUGUUUAUUUAUUUGUUUUUAUGUGGUGCUGAGGCUCGAACCCCGUGCCUCACACAUGCUAAGCAAGUGCUAUACCACUCAGCUACAACCCCAGCCCCACAAUGUGUUUUUUUAAAGGAAUUUCUAAGUGUGAGAACAGAACAAAGAUGAGCUAUCUCAUUAUUUGUGUUCAUAUUGUUCUUCAUAGUGCUACUCCAUGCAAUAGAUUAAAAAAAAUACCAUGAUAAUAGGAAUAAACAAAGCUGUCUUUACUGGUGAUAAUAUUGUAUAUUUUCAUUUUAAUUCAUUUAUGGCAUUUUAUUAUAACAUUUUAAAUUUAAUUUAAAAAUUUAAUUGGAUUUUAAUUUUAUAUCUCAUUUUUUGUUACUGAGGAUUGAACCCAAGGGCAGUUUACAACAUAGAUAUAUCCCCAGCCCUUUUUUUAUUUUCAAAUUUUGAGAGGGUCUUGCUAAAUGGCCCAGGCUGGCCUUGAACUUGGGUUCCUCCUGCCUCAGCCUCCUGAUCAUUGGGAUUACAGGUAUGUGCCACCAGGCCCUAAUUUAUUGUGGUACAUUCAUAGGUGCAUAAUUUGAUCACUUUCAUUCCACCCUUUUCCUGUCCUUCCUUCCUUUCCCUAAAUCUCCUACUUCUAUUCUACUGAUCACCUUUCUAUUUUCAUGGGAUUCCCCUCCCCUUUACCCCCUUAUUUUGGUCAAGCUUCUGAAUAUGAGAGAAAAUAUUCAACCCUUGACUUUUUGAGUCUGUCUUAUUUCAUUUAGUAUUAUAUGUCCUCUAUUUCCAUCCAUUUACCAGCAAAUGCCAUAAUUUCAUCCUUUUUAUAUACCUAAGUAAAAUUACAUUGUGUAUAUAUAUACCACAUUUUCUGUGUCUUGGCAUCUGUAGAAAGAUUCACAGCUGUGAGUCCCAUUCAGUGUACUCUUGAAAAAAAAAAUGUGUAUUUUGCUGCAUGGAAUUUUGUGUUUAUGUGUUAAGUUUGGUCUAAUUUGUUUAUAGUGUUGUUCAAGUCCUUUGAUUCCUUAAUGGUGUGGUUUUUAGUUAUUCAGUCAUUAAAAUAUAUACAUAUUGUAAAAUUAUUAAAAAUUUGCCUUUAUCUGUAAUUUUUUUUUUGCUUCUUACAGUUUUGUGUUAAGUAUGUAUAUGUGCUAGUAAGCUAGAAAGCUCCCUUUACUAUGUACUGAAGGAUGUUAUGGUGGGGAGCAAAUUGCAUAAGAGUCUUUUCUUAUUUCUGGACUUCUGGGAAACAGAAGGAGGAGGGGCUAAGUCCCAAUAUGGCCUUAAUGGGCACAUCUCAGUAACCUAACUUUCUCUCUCUUAGACCCUAUCUCUUAAAGGUUCUAUCAUCUGCCAAUUGUGCCAAAGGGUGGCAGCGAUAUUUUUUUUUUAUAUUUAUUUUUUAGUCAUAGUUAGACACAAUACCUGAAUUUAGUUUUUUAAAAAAAUAUUUAUUUUUUAGGUGUAAGUUGGACACAAUGCCUUUAUUUUAUUUACUUAUUUUUAUGUGGUGCUAAGGAUUGAACCCAGGGCCUUGCACGUGCUAGGUGAGUGCUCUACCGCUGAGCCACAACCCCAGCCCCGGCAGCCACAUCUUUAAAUGCAGACCUUUGACAGACAUUUUCCUGAAUUAUACCAGUAUAUAUUUGCAAUUGCUACAUAUUUUCAAUCAAUUGCAGGCCUUGUGCUUGCUUGGUAAGCCCUUUACCACUAAAUUACACCCUAAACUUCAAUUGAUCUCUUUCUAUGUAGAACUUUUUCUUGUAAAAAUUUUUAUUUUGACAUGAUUUUCGCUGAUAUUUAAUCUAGAAUUCUAAAUCUAUUUUAGCUUAUGUCCAUAUGGAAAACCUUUUUCCCAUGUUUUCCCUUUCAUUAAGUUUGUGUCUUUGAAUCAAAGUGUGGUUCUCUUGUUCAUAGCAUGUAGUUAUAUUUCCGAUGACUUACUCCUUUUAAUAAGAAAUUUCAACCCAUUUACAUUUGAUGUAAGAAAUAGUAAAGAAUAAUUUCUGCCAUUUUGCUAGUUCUUUUCUCUUUGCAUUAUAUGCUUUAUUCCCUACAUUCUUCACGCUUGCCUUUUUGUGUUUAAUAAUACUUUCUAAAGACCCACUGAGAAGAAAAUCAGAAAAUGGUUCCAUUCACAAUAGCCUAAAAUAAAUAAAUUAGUAAAACAAAAUACCUAGGAAUACCCCUAACUAAGAAGAUGAAAGACCUCAAUGAUGAAAAUUACAGAACACUGAGAAAAGAAAUUGAGACUUUCUCAUUGAUGUCCUUUGAUAUUAUGUAGAUAAUUUUUAAUCCUUCAAUGAUUUUAUAUUUAUUUUGUUAGUGGUUGCUUGUAAUAAUUUGUUAACUAUUUAUAAUAGAAUUUACAUUUAUUAUUAAAUUUAAUUUCAGUGUUAUAAAAAAUCUUUAUUCCUUUAUAACUGUUUUCUUGUAUUUAUUUAUUAUUUUCUUUUUCUCUUUCCCUUCCCCUUCAUUUCUUUCUUUUCUUGUGGUAUUGGCAAUUAUACUCAAGGCCCUGUACAUGAUUGACAGCAUUCUACCACUUAACUACAUCACUAGCCCUUUUCAUUUUUUUUUUUUUUUUACUUUAAAUUUUGAGACAAGGUGUCACUAUGUGGCCGAAGAGUUGCUGAGAGUGGUCUUGAAUUUGACUGUCCUCCUAUCAGCCCUUCCCAUAGCUGGAAUAUAGACAUGCUGUAUCAGUUAUGCUCCAUUUUUGUGGGUUUUUUUUGUCAUUCAAAUCACAACUUUUCUCCAUUGUUAAGACUUUAGGCAAUUUUAGACUUCUUGCUUUAUGCAAUCACCUGAUUAUCAAAUCACUAGUGUAUUUAUACUUUCUUUUUUUCUUAGAGCUUUGUGGCUAUACAUAGUAGUUGGCUUCCUCUCCACAAACACAUACAUUCAGGGAAUUUGAUUUCAGUCGACAAUCCCCUACUUUUUCCUCCUUGUUUUCCCUGCCCCCCAAUACCCUGUACCGCCCCCAUUCUCCUUCCUGUACUCUGCUAGACUUCCUUGUGAUCAUCUGUUUAUUUACAUUUGAUUAUUUCAUUUUACUUAUGCAUAAAGUUAUAUAUAACCAUGUAAUUACCAGUGGUAUAUUUAUAUAUGUACAU
Marmota monax (woodchuck) is the source of this 7242-nucleotide long non-coding RNA. RefSeq lists it as uncharacterized. The record is from RefSeq and is a predicted model, not a curated record. NCBI's taxonomy places the organism in Eukaryota, Metazoa, Chordata, Mammalia, Rodentia, Sciuridae. The transcript is spliced from 12 exons.